UACGAAUGGAGCGAGCGUUGUUCGGAAUCACUGGGCGUAAAGCGUGCGCAAGCGGUCUUGAAAGUCAGGAGUGAAAUCCCAGGGCUUAACCCUGGAAUUGCUCUUGAAACUCCAAGACUGGAGUACUGGAGAGGUUGGCGGAAUUUCGAGUGUAGCAGUGAAAUGCGUAGAUAUUCGAAGGAACACCGAUGGCGUAGGCAGCCAACUGGACAGUUACUGACGCUCAUGCACGAAAGCGUGGGGAUCAAACAGG
RNAcentral lists this ribosomal RNA (253 nucleotides) under uncultured bacterium. RNAcentral's name for it is "partial 16S ribosomal RNA". It matches the Rfam family "Bacterial small subunit ribosomal RNA", at positions 524 to 776 of the family's 1533-position model. The record is from RNAcentral.